This 1351-nucleotide long non-coding RNA is filed under the name Homo sapiens (human). RNAcentral's name for it is "HSALNT0361687". The record is from RNAcentral. Lineage: Eukaryota; Metazoa; Chordata; Mammalia; Primates; Hominidae.
CAGGACAGUCCUUGCUAUCCCACAGCUCCCACGCUAAUGUGGGAGGCAGAGGUAUAACAGAGUCACCACCUAGGGUGAGGAGAGCAGCGCCUGAGGUCAGCACUGGAGGACAAGGGCAUGGAAAGAUGUGGGGUGUGAAUCUUGGCUCUGCCACUGACCAGUCAGGUGACCUUGGACAAGGGAUAUAGCCUCUCUGAAUUUCUAUUGCCUCAUCAGAAAGAUGAGGAUGGUAAUAUCUACGCUUCAGGAUUGAUUUAGGAUUAAACAGACAAUGCACAUACAGUGUCAAAUACUGUGCAAAGGAAGACAAUAAGUGCUUAGUAUAUGGUAGCUGUAUUUAUUAACAAAACUAAAGAGUGGGUGGGGAAAAGGAGGAUGAAGAGGAUUCUGGAACUUGUUUCUCUAUGAGUUCUGUUCUUGGCCAGAAGCUGGCCUUCUGUGCCCAGCCCCCUUUCCAUCCCCAAGCCUGUCCAGGCACCUGCUAUGGGUCCUGGCAUCCCGAGGCAGGGCCAGGGAAGGGCCAGGGUGAGGCCAAGAGGGCGGGUGAGGACAGCCCAGCCCAGCUCCUCACUGCUGGGGAGCCUGGUGUGGGGGCAGGACUGCUCUUGGCAGCUAUGUUCUCCCUGGAUGGAGAGAAGGCCUGUGUGUCUAUGGGGAGAUGGAGAUGACAUCAGAAUAGCCGGAGCAGGUGUGAUCCAAGGUUCUGCAAGGAAAAGGAAGGAUGGUGUGGAGUGUGUUGCUGCAGGGAAGGCUUCCCAGUGGAGGUGGCUCCUGAGCUCUAGGAAAAGGGAAGUGAGUGUCCUUCCAGGCAGAGGGAACAGCAGGUGCAAAGGCCUGGGGGCUCGUCUAUAAGCACCCCCACGGCCGCGGCCCAGAUCCUCCCCGCUUUGCCCACCGGCCUCCAUCUCUGUCCUCAGGCCCGCUGGAGUCACAAGCCCCAUCCCAGACUCUCCAACGCUGGACCUGCAGCGCCCAGCCCUGCCCUGGUGCUACCACCUGCCAGCUCUGUGCCUGCCCCUCCACUAGAUCAUGACUUCGGCUCCAGCUCCCUCACUCUCCAUGCCUCUCACUUGCGGGUUGUGCCCUGCUCAGCUGGCCAGACUUUGGCCCCCUCCCUACCUGGAUUUGUGAAGCCCCAAAUUUCAUCUCCCCCACCACACUUAUUCACAGCCUCCGCCUGCUGACAUACCCAGGCAAGACUCCCUUCCCCUCCAGGCAGCCAAACUUCAGUUCGAAUCUUCUGGCUCUUACCAGACCCCUGAUGAAUCCCAGGAUCUUCGCAGGUGGUCCCAGGGCCUCUUUGAACCACAGUUUUACUUAUCUGAAAAAUAAAAAGGCAUGAUUUAGAUGA